CCUACGGGAGGCAGCAGUGGGGAAUAUUGCACAAUGGGCGAAAGCCUGAUGCAGCCAUGCCGCGUGUGUGAAGAAGGCCUUCGGGUUGUAAAGCACUUUCAGCGAGGAGGAAAGGUUAGUAGUUAAUAACUGCUAGCUGUGACGUUACUCGCAGAAGAAGCACCGGCUAACUUCGUGCCAGCAGCCGCGGUAAU
RNAcentral lists this ribosomal RNA (194 nucleotides) under uncultured bacterium. Its description in RNAcentral is "partial 16S ribosomal RNA". It matches the Rfam family "Bacterial small subunit ribosomal RNA", at positions 338 to 524 of the family's 1533-position model. The record is from RNAcentral.